This 471-nucleotide ribosomal RNA is filed under the name uncultured bacterium. Its description in RNAcentral is "partial 16S ribosomal RNA". It matches the Rfam family "Bacterial small subunit ribosomal RNA", at positions 28 to 507 of the family's 1533-position model. The record is from RNAcentral.
GACGAACGCUGGCGGCGUGCUUAACACAUGCGAGUCGAACGAUGAAGCGGUGCUUGCACCGUGGAUUAGUGGCGAACGGGUGAGUAAUACGUGAGUGACCUACCUUUGACUCUGGGAUAAGCCUGGGAAACUGGGUCUAAUACCGGAUACGACCAAUCUCUGCAUGGGGUGUUGGUGGAAAGCGUUAUGGAGUGGUUUUAGAUGGGCUCACGGCCUAUCAGCUUGUUGGUGAGGUAAUGGCUUACCAAGGCGACGACGGGUAGCCGGCCUGAGAGGGUGACCGGCCACACUGGGACUGAGACACGGCCCAGACUCCUACGGGAGGCAGCAGUGGGGAAUAUUGCACAAUGGGCGCAAGCCUGAUGCAGCGACGCCGCGUGAGGGAUGACGGCCUUCGGGUUGUAAACCUCUGUUAGCAUCGAAGAAGCGAAAGUGACGGUAGGUGCAGAGAAAGCGCCGGCUAACUACGUG